GAGAAUGCUUUGCACACACACACACACACACACACACACGGCGGGGGGGGGGAGUGCAAGGAGGGCUUCGCUCCCUCUCCCGCAUCCACCCCGUCGGUAGAGGUGCCCGAAAAGUUGCAACCCAUGUAGUAAGUCUGUUGGUUACCGUUUGGUCUGUGCGCAUUUGGUCCGUGCGUCUGUGUCCGUUUCACUCAGCCUGCUGUGUCCGUUUAUUACUGUGCGCAUCUGGGACGCUCCCUGCCGGCGCCAUGUCCGUUUCCAUCAUUUUUUGCCAUGAAGUAUUCCCACGAAAAAUUUAGGAAAAAUAUGUUGAAGUAGACAUUUCAAGGUUUUUUUUUAAUUGGAGGUGUAUCUCUGAAACAUAAUCUUAAAACAUUUUUUCUAAGAAUUUAAAAAUCCGUAUUUUUUGUCAGAAUGAAAAAAAAAUUUUUAAGUCUUGUUGAUGUUCAUAAUUUUUUUUUUUUCCACUAAAAGUGCUUGAACUGUUUUCGAUACAAACCACUUUCUAUAUUUUGGUUUUUCCCCCUCCAUGACUCCUAAUAAUGCAAUUUUAAUCAUAGAACACACGUAAAAAAACUUUCAUAAACCUCUGGGAUCCUGAAGACUUUAUGAACACUCAAACAAGUGCGAUUUCCUGGAAUUUAAACGGAUUUAAACAUUCGAGGUCUAAUUUUGUUCGUCAGAAUCUCUAGUUUUAGAAUAAUUACAUGAAAAAGCAUUUUAAAGAAUUGAAAAAAAAUUAUAAACAAAAAUAUGAGGAAAAGUUUGUGACAAAAUUGAAAAUUGUUUUUUUUUUUUCAUGAUUUGUUACCUUCGAUGAAAUUUUCCACCUAUUUCAUCUCACGUCGCGCACCGCGCUCUCGCGCGCUCCGCCGGAGCACCCGUCUCACCGAGCGCUCCCCUCCCCACGAAAUCAGACGCGCUGGGUAUUAGCGCGUACACCCUACGCUUAUACUCUUUAUUAAAUUUUAUUAUUAUUGCGUGCGUGAUUAUUACUCCCAGUGUCAAAGCUCAAAUCCAUCGAAUCAUGCCACGUAUAGUUAAAAAUUUCGUUAAAAGAGUGAUAUUCUUUCGUCACCUUUCUAUUUGCUAUUAACGACAGGGUGCAACCGCCACCCCUCAACUCCCUUGUUAAUUAAUAAUACUGCAAUCCGUCGCAGUCAUGCUAUAACUCUUUCACAUUAUUAACAACCUGGAGUAAUGUGAAUAUUUUUCAACCAUGCGGUUCACGCGUGACACCCUCGCGCUGCCGAAGAGUCGGUCCAGCCGCGGAGCGCGUGUACCAAGUAGGAUAGCAAUAGCUCGAGCAUUAUUCCAAUCGGGGAAGUAUGAAUGAGAUAGCAUGAGUAAAGUAAUUACGAAGGUAUGCGGUUUAAUUACUCCGCUCACAGAGGUGAUAGGAGAAAGGCGAAGGAAGCAUUCAAACGCUAACCACCCUGGCUACCUCUUGACCGAAGUUUAUAAUAAUCCGAAUAAAAAUUAAAAACCAUAAAAUUUCAAAAAUAAUAGCUAUUUGUCGCGGAAUUUUCCAUGGAUUUGAGCUUCCCUACACCCGCGUACCCCUAGGACCCCCUAGUUUUGGGGUAUAUAAGGAGCGCGAGAUCCUCAGGAAGCAGCAUUCUCGCUCAUAUAACGAGUCGCGCUGCCAGUAGGCAUAGACGUUACUCUGCAGAGAAGAAGUGCUAUCCGUGGAAUAGUUAUAAGCCAUCGCGCUCUUAUAUAAAUAAGUCACUACACUGCGCUAUUAAAUUCUUGAUACAAGAAGCAACCAGUGCGUAAGUAACAUCUCUUUUAUCUACAAACGCUGUAAAUUCACUCUUAUAAUUUGUCAAGUGUAAGCUCACUUUACUUUAUUUAAAAUAAAAAGUUCUCUUGUCGUAAAAUUCUGUUUAAUAUAACUAUUUAACGAAAUUAUAAAAUUUCUUACUUGUAUUGCGCGAGAAUUAUUAAAUUAAGUGGGGCAAAAUACGGGGCAAAAUCAUCAUCGGUGCUCCCAAAAACGAAACAAGCGACUUCUCUGAAUCUUCAUCCUGGAAGCAGGGCGCUACGACUCAGGCGCCUGCUUCCUCCCUGAACUUCAAGCCAGGGGCGCCUACCGGGGCGCUUAAGUUAGGAGGUGUCCAGGGGACAACAGGCGCCUAUUAAGGCGCUUUUUACCCCCUACGUCGUUCCUCCACCUAACUGUGCACCACAGGGCAGCCCAUAGGGCGCUCUCCGUCACAAACGCCUCAUCUUUCCUUGGCGUGGGAUUUGUUGCGCCCUCCCUGGGCGCUCCCCCCUCACGCUCUCUAUACCUUGUCGCAAAAUUGUACGCUCUUCCUCUCAUUAGCAUCCGAACAGUACCCACAAAAGAAAAGAGGUACUCUCCUUUUUUUUUAUUUUUGGCCUAAACUCAUUUCCUAAAGCACCACUAAGAACCGCGUCGUUCACGUGGCAGGCAGUAACUACGCGAAUAAUAACAAUAACUAUCAUUGAUCUCUCUAUCUCUCUCUCUCUCUCUCUCUCUCUCUCUCUCUCUCUCUCUCUCUCUCUCUCUCCCUCUGUUCACGUACUCUCGGUCCGCGUCCGUGUGAAACGGAACAAGACGGGUAAGAACAGAACCCGAGUCGAUCUCUCACAUACACUCCGUGGGAUGGUACGGGCUGCCCACUAGGGCGCUUAUCCCCCACACUCCCCUCCUUAUUCCGUGGGCAAUGGGCUCGCCCAUUUGGGCGCUUUAUCCCCACGGACUCAUACAAUUACAACUUGGCAGAUUGACUCGUUUUCUCAUCUAACCCAGCAAAAUUACCCCGAUUAAAACAUUUCAUAAAAACUAAAAGAAAGGGAAAUAAAUAUUAACAGAGAGAAAGAGAGGAAUUCAAAUAAAAGAAACGUUACACGAAUUACAUGACUCUUACCCAGGCCUCUGGCACUCGCUUAUAUUUUCAAGCAAAAAUGUGACCUCCUUAUUGUCCGAGAUUCGCUAGGGGCGCUGGUAGUAACAUAGCCCUCUAACCUAUUGCAGCGUGGUGCAACGCGUGAACACACGCAAGUGAUAAAUAGUGAUAGCAAGUGAUAGUGAUAAAUAUAUCUUGAUAAAUAGUGAACGUUUACAGAAACUAGUAAAACGAGAAGCAUGCCACAUUGCAUAGCUCCGGGAUGUACUUCCGGAUAUAAAUCGAAUUCAGAGAAAGUACAUUUUUUUAUUGUGCCAAAGGACGAAAAUAUAAGAAAAUUAUGGCAAGAUGCAAUUCGAAGAAAAAACUAUAGUGCGGGCAGGACAAUCUCUGUGUGAAAAACAUUUUAUGGCCCAAGAUAUAUUGUGGAAGCGUGAACUAACAGGUCCUGAUGGACAAGUACUCGGCGUUUCAUAUUAUAAAUAACCAAGGUUGCGGAAAGGCACCGUACCGUCACAAUUUCAUGGGCAGAAAUUACUGUGGAUAACACACUACUUCACAAACAGACACAAAUGGUACAUGAAAUAGUACAACAGUGCAAAGAAGAAAAUGCACAAGAAAUAGUAUAAAUAAGCCUAAAUUCUCAUUUAUAGAUUUGAUAGCUUGUACUACAUUGCAAUUACCAGUAAAUUGGUCUAGAUGUACUUUCAUCUGUAAUGGAACUAAAAUUGAAUCAUUUGUCAUGGUACUAAUGUAUAAAAAUAGAAAACAGUUUUGUCACUAAAAAUAUCAAAGAACUUAUUGUACAAGAAAACUUAUAUCUAACUAAUAAACUUAUAUCUAACUUAUAUCUACACUA
Molecule: long non-coding RNA, 3735 nt
Organism: Monomorium pharaonis (pharaoh ant)
Lineage: Eukaryota; Metazoa; Arthropoda; Insecta; Hymenoptera; Formicidae
Exons: 2
Source: RefSeq, a predicted model, not a curated record